GGAAUUAUUGGGCGUAAAGAGCUCGUAGGCGGUUUGUCGCGUCUGCUGUGAAAACUGGGGGCUCAACCCCCAGCCUGCAGUGGGUACGGGCAGACUAGAGUGCGGUAGGGGAGAUUGGAAUUCCUGGUGUAGCGGUGGAAUGCGCAGAUAUCAGGAGGAACACCGAUGGCGAAGGCAGAUCUCUGGGCCGUAACUGACGCUGAGGAGCGAAAGGGUGGGGAGCAAACAGGCUUAGAUACCCUGGUAGUCCACCCCGUAAACGUUGGGAACUAGUUGUGGGGUCCAUUCCACGGAUUCCGUGACGCAGCUAACGCAUUAAGUUCCCCGCCUGGGGAGUACGGCCGCAAGGCUAAAACUCAAAGGAAUUGACGGGGACCCGCACAAGCGGCGGAGCAUGCGGAUUAAUUCGAUGCAACGCGAAGAACCUUACCAAGGCUUGACAUACACGAGAACGCUGCAGAAAUGUAGAACUCUUUGGACACUCGUGAACAGGUGGUGCAUGGUUGUCGUCAGCUCGUGUCGUGAGAUGUUGGGUUAAGUCCCGCAACGAGCGCAACCCUCGUUCUAUGUUGCCAGCACGUAAUGGUGGGAACUCAUGGGAUACUGCCGGGGUCAACUCGGAGGAAGGUGGGGAUGACGUCAAAUCAUCAUGCCCCUUAUGUCUUGGGCUUCACGCAUGCUACAAUGGCCGGUACAAAGGGCUGCAAUACCGUGAGGUGGAGCGAAUCCCAAAAAGCCGGUCCCAGUUCGGAUUGAGGUCUGCAACUCGACCUCAUGAAGUCGGAGUCGCUAGUAAUCGCAGAUCAGCAACGCUGCGGUGAAUACGUUCCCGGGUCUUGUACACACCGCCCGUCAAGUC
RNAcentral lists this ribosomal RNA (859 nucleotides) under Microbacterium sp. RNAcentral's name for it is "bacterial SSU rRNA". It matches the Rfam family "Bacterial small subunit ribosomal RNA", at positions 547 to 1403 of the family's 1533-position model. The record is from RNAcentral. Lineage: Bacteria; Bacillati; Actinomycetota; Actinomycetes; Micrococcales; Microbacteriaceae.